UGACCACCCAGGACAACAGGGCCAAGAGAAAGAAUUCCUAGAGGAAAGGAUGGCAGGAAGAAAAACAGGAACACCUGCUUACAGCCAUUUCCUACUUCUCACUCUGUGUUCUCUGGGUCCUAAGGCUGAAGAGAUUCUGCAGACAUACUUGAAAUCCAAGGAGUCUGUGACUGAUGCAAUUCUCCAGACAGACCAGACUCUCACAGAAAAGGAAAAGGAGAUUGAAGGUGAGGAGUGAGUUAAAAGAUUAGAUGGCCUCAAAAGCUCCAAAAAUUGAAAUAACUUGACUGGAUAAACAUGGGACCCUUUAACUAGAGCAAGAUCCACAAAGUUGUGUCUUACUUGCUGAGGUCAUCUCUGAGUAGGGCAUAUGCAGUCAACAACAACGACAGGUAAGUGUAUAAGGAAGAAUGAGGCAACAAGAUAACCCCACACAAAUUUUUCUUCUUCCUUUUCCUCCACAGUGGAACGUGUGAAAGCAGAGUCUGCACAGGCUUCAGCAAAAAUGUUGCAGGAAAUGCAAAGAAAGAAUGAACAGAUAAUGGAACAGAAGGAGAGGAGUUAUCAGGAACACUUGAAACAACUGACUGAGAAGAUGGAGAGCGACAGGGCCCAGUUGCUGAAAGAGCAAGAGAGGACCCUCGCUCUUAAACUUCAGGAACAGGAGCGACUACUAAAAGAGGGAUUUCAAGAAGAAAGCAGAAUAAUGAAAAAUGAGAUACAGGAUCUCCAGACGAAAAUGAGACGACGAAGGACAUGCACCAUAAGCUAAAGACCAGAGCCUUCCUGUCACCCCUACCCAAGGCAUAAUUGAAACAAUUUUAGAA
RNAcentral lists this small RNA (827 nucleotides) under Pongo abelii (Sumatran orangutan). RNAcentral describes it as "processed transcript". Lineage: Eukaryota; Metazoa; Chordata; Mammalia; Primates; Hominidae. The record is from RNAcentral.